Molecule: small nuclear RNA, 104 nt
Organism: Molossus molossus (Pallas's mastiff bat)
Lineage: Eukaryota; Metazoa; Chordata; Mammalia; Chiroptera; Molossidae
Source: RefSeq, a predicted model, not a curated record
AUGCUUCGGCAGCAUAUAUACUAAAAUGGGAACAAUAGAGAAGAUUAGCAUGGCCCCUGCACAAGGGUGACACGCAAAUUUGAGAAUAGGAGAACAACUCAUUU